This 253-nucleotide ribosomal RNA is filed under the name uncultured bacterium. Its description in RNAcentral is "partial 16S ribosomal RNA". It matches the Rfam family "Bacterial small subunit ribosomal RNA", at positions 524 to 776 of the family's 1533-position model. The record is from RNAcentral.
UACGAAGGGGGCUAGCGUUGUUCGGAAUUACUGGGCGUAAAGCGCGCGCAGGCGGCUAUCCAAGUCAGUGGUGAAAGCCCGGAGCUCAACUCCGGAACUGCCAUUGAAACUGUUUAGCUUGAGGACGAGAGAGGUGAGUGGAAUUCCCAGUGUAGAGGUGAAAUUCGUAGAUAUUCGGAGGAACACCAGUGGCGAAGGCGACUAACUGGACAGGCAUUGACGCUGAGGCACGAAAGCGUGGGGAUCAAACAGG